Molecule: ribosomal RNA, 1180 nt
Filed under: Triticum aestivum (bread wheat)
Lineage: Eukaryota; Viridiplantae; Streptophyta; Magnoliopsida; Poales; Poaceae
Description: partial small subunit ribosomal RNA
Source: RNAcentral
CUGCUAAAAAACUAUUUUCAACACUUUGGCCCUCCCCAACCUGUUUUAGUAGCACUUGGCCUCCCUUAUUUCUGGCUCCGCCACUCAGGAUCAAGUAAAAUGUCCACCACAUUGAGGGACAUUUUUUCAGUCAAAGAGGUGAAUAAGGAGCGCUCCAUGGGGGCACUGGAGUUUGUGGACCUGACGACGACGACGAUGACAACUAGCUUAGGUUUAUUUAUUAAUGUUUAGUUUUUGGUAAUACUCUAUAUAAGACUGGAAUUCUCGCGCCCGCCCACGGACAAAAUAUCCGUCUCACAAAAACCGAGUCCGUUUGGGUCGAGUUGGCCUUAUUUUUCCAGUGAAGUGUCACAAUGUGAAUGAUAAGUGGCGCACCAAUUCAAAUGGCUCGUUAUACCUAUUGCACGUUAUAGUAAAUCUAGGAGAGCAAGUAAAAUAACAAGCAAAAUAUGGUGGCACCAGAUCAUGGAAAAAAAUGAUUCAUGGCACCCACGAGCAUCAAAAUUUAGGAAUCACAACUAACUAUUCCACAGAAAAGGGUUACACCGCGAGACUGGAAAUAAGCACAAAAAAACAGGGGAGACAGCGAGCAUCAUCAAAACUAAAUGGAGCGAUCAUACGAAUACUAGAUCAAACCGGAUAAAUAGUAUCUACAAGCACACGGGUACAAUCUCUACUAAUAAGGAGAUACUAAUCACCAUCACCGAGUGACACACAGUAGCAGAUCUGGGCAAAAUGACACGAACGAACAAAUCACUAGUGAUAAAUAAAUGGAUCUAUAUGUGGUUGUACUAGGUAGGUCGACGGGGAAGACGGAGGCAGUCUCUUCAGUGGCGAACGGCGGCGAAGAGGAAGGCGGCACCGGAGGCGACGAGCGCAGCGGCGAGGGACGGCAUCGCGACGCCGGCGGCGGACACGGGGCUGGGCGCCGGGGCCUCCUGGGCGGAGACGACGGAGAAGGCGGCGACCGACAGGAUGGCGACGAGGGCCAGGGCCUUGGAUGCGACGGUGGAGGCGGCCAUCGCUUCGGUUGGUGGCAGCGACGAGCGACGUACGAGGAGGUGUGAUCUGUGGCGGCGGCGAGGGAUGGAGUAAGAGAGGAGAUCUUUGCUGGAGGUGGGGAAAGGCGCAGGGGUGGAGCGCUAUUUAUUGGGUGGAGUCGCCGGUUAGCGGGUCUGGA